Molecule: transfer RNA, 71 nt
Filed under: Tapinoma ibericum
Lineage: Eukaryota; Metazoa; Arthropoda; Insecta; Hymenoptera; Formicidae
Description: tRNA-Thr
Source: RNAcentral
UAGCUUUUAGUUUAAUAUAAAACAUAAAUUUUGUAAAUUUAAAAUAACUGAAAUUAAUCAAUUAUAGCUAA